GACGAACGCUGGCGGCGUGCUUAACACAUGCCAGUCGAACGGCAAGGCCCAGCUUGCUGGGUGCUCGAGUGGCGAACGGGUGGGUAACACAUGGGUGAUCUGCCCCUUACUUUGGGAUAAGGGUGGGAAACUGGGUACAAUACCGGAUAGGGCAAUCGUUUAGUGUCGGUUGUGGAAAGUUUUUUCGGUUAGGGGUGAGCCCGUGGCCUAUCAGCUGGUUGGUGGGGUAAUGGGCUAACAAGGCGACGACGGGGAGCCGGUCUGCGAGGGUGGGAAGCCACACUGGCACUAGGAGAGGGCACAGGCUCCGAAGGGAGGCAGCAGUGGGGACUAUUGGACAAUGGGCGCAAGCCUUAUCCAGCCAUGCCGAGUGGGUGAAGAAGGCCUUCGGUGUGUAAAGCCCUUUUGUUGGGAAAGAAAAGCAGCAGGUUAAUACCCAGCUGUUCUGACGGUACCCAAAGAAUAAGCACCGGCUAACUUCGUG
RNAcentral lists this ribosomal RNA (484 nucleotides) under uncultured bacterium. Its description in RNAcentral is "partial 16S ribosomal RNA". It matches the Rfam family "Bacterial small subunit ribosomal RNA", at positions 28 to 507 of the family's 1533-position model. The record is from RNAcentral.